AUUGAACGCUGGCGGCAUGCCUUACACAUGCAAGUCGAACGGCAGCACGGUUAGUUGCAGCUGGUGGGGGGUGGCGAACGGGGGAGGAAUACAACGGAACCGGUCCUUUAGUUUGGGUUAGCCCGACGGAAGCCAGAUUAAUACCGCAACCGCUUUACGCCUGAGAGCGGGUGACGUGCGUUCCUGGCGCUAGAGGGUUUGCCGAUGGCUGAUUAGGUAGUUGGUGGGGUCAAGGCCUACCACGGCGACGAUCAGUAGCCGUUCGGAGUGGACGAUCAGCCACACGGGAACUGAGACACGGACAAGACUCCUACGGGAGGCAGCAGUGGGGAAUUUUGGACAAUGGGCGAAAGCAUGAUCCAGCAAUGCCGCGUGUGUGAAGAAGGCCUUCGGGUUGUAAAGCACUUUUGUCGGGAAAGAAACCCUUGGAGCUAAUACGGUGGGGGGAUGACGGUACCGGAAGAAUAAGCACCGGCUAACUACGUG
Molecule: ribosomal RNA, 486 nt
Filed under: uncultured bacterium
Lineage: Bacteria
Description: partial 16S ribosomal RNA
Rfam family: Bacterial small subunit ribosomal RNA
Source: RNAcentral